CCCGGACGACAAGCUAACUAUGAUGAAAAAUAAUCAAUAAUAUUUGAAAAUAUGUUAAGUAGAUGAGCAAUAUCCUUCUCAGUAUUCAGUUCUGACAAUAUGUCAUAUAUAGAUUGGCUUCAACACCGGCAAUGUUCAACAGCACACUUACCGAAGAUGCGAUACAUCAUUGCCCAGCAGAUGGAGGCAUCAUGAUAACAGGUACUAUUCCCAGUUUGUAUG
RNAcentral lists this long non-coding RNA (222 nucleotides) under Hordeum vulgare. RNAcentral describes it as "long non-coding RNA (HVUL_LNC012074)". Lineage: Eukaryota; Viridiplantae; Streptophyta; Magnoliopsida; Poales; Poaceae. The record is from RNAcentral.